CAGCAGCCACGGUAAAACGUAGGGGGCAAGCGUUAUCCGGAAUUACUGGGUGUAAAGGGAGCGUAGACGGCUAAACAAGUCUGAAGUGAAAUGCCGGGGCUCAACCCCGGAGCUGCUUUGGGAACUGUAGAACUGGAGUGUCGGAGGGGUAAGCGGAAUUCCCAGUGUAGCGGUGAAAUGCGUAGAUAUUGGGAGGAACACCGGCGGCGAAGGCGGCUUACUGGACGACAACUGACGUUGAGGCUCGAAGGCGUGGGUAGCAAACAGGAUUAGAUACCCCAGUAGUCCCUGUCUCUUAUAU
Molecule: ribosomal RNA, 301 nt
Filed under: uncultured bacterium
Lineage: Bacteria
Description: partial 16S ribosomal RNA
Rfam family: Bacterial small subunit ribosomal RNA
Source: RNAcentral